RNAcentral lists this ribosomal RNA (410 nucleotides) under Sarmatium crassum. Its description in RNAcentral is "partial 12S ribosomal RNA". Lineage: Eukaryota; Metazoa; Arthropoda; Malacostraca; Decapoda; Sesarmidae. The record is from RNAcentral.
AAAUAUAAGAACUAGAUUAGUAUUAGUUAUAUACUUAAAAAUUAAAAAAUUUGGCGGUGAUUUAAUCUUUUCAGAGGAAUUUGUUUUUUAAUCGAUAAUCCACGGAAAAUCUUACUUAUUUUAGCAUUAAAUUUUAAAUUUAGUCAGUUUGUAUACCAUCAUUAUUAGAUAAUUUUAAAAGAAGAAAUUAUUAAAUAUAAAUUAUUAUUGAAAUUAGAUCAUGGUGCAGCUAAUAAAUAAGUUAAAAUGAAUUACAAUAAAUUAUUUUAUAAUGGAUUAAUAAAGUAAAUUUUUAUUAUGAAGGAGGAUUUGAUAGUAUUAUAAUUUUAACAAGUUUGUUAGAAAAUGGCUCUAAAUCAUGUACAUAUCGCCCGUCGCUUUCGUUUAUAAAUGAAAUAAGUCGUGACAUA